Molecule: ribosomal RNA, 459 nt
Filed under: uncultured bacterium
Lineage: Bacteria
Description: partial 16S ribosomal RNA
Rfam family: Bacterial small subunit ribosomal RNA
Source: RNAcentral
CCUACGUGAGGCAGCAGUGAGGAAUAUUGGUCAAUGGGCGGGAGCCUGAACCAGCCAAGCCGCGUGAGGGAAGCAGGUACAGCGUAUCGUACACCUCUUUUGUCAGGGAACAAAGGCGGGGACUAGUCCCCGGAUGAGGGUACCUGACGAAAAAGCAUCGGCUAACUACGUGCAAGCAGCCGCGGUACUACGGAGGCUGCGAGCGUUGUCCGGAUUUAUUGGGUUUAAAGGGUGCGCAGGCGGCCUGUUAAUUCAGCGGUAAAAGCCCGGGGCUCAACCCCGGCGAGCCGUUGACACUGGCUGGCUGGAGUUGGAGAGAAGUACGCGGAAUGCGCGGUGUAGCGGUGAAAUGCUUAGAUAUCGCGCAGAACCCCGAUUGCGAAGGCAGCGUACCGGCUCCACACUGACGCUGAGGCACGAAAGCGUGGGUAUCGAACAGGAUUAGAUACCCCUGUAGUC